AGAGUUUGAUCCUGGCUCAGGAUGAACGCUGGCGGCGUGCCUAAUACAUGCAAGUCGAGCGAACGGACGAGAAGCUUGCUUCUCUGAUGUUAGCGGCGGACGGGUGAGUAACACGUGGAUAACCUACCUAUAAGACUGGGAUAACUUCGGGAAACCGGAGCUAAUACCGGAUAAUAUUUUGAACCGCAUGGUUCAAAAGUGAAAGACGGUCUUGCUGUCACUUAUAGAUGGAUCCGCGCUGCAUUAGCUAGUUGGUAAGGUAACGGCUUACCAAGGCAACGAUGCAUAGCCGACCUGAGAGGGUGAUCGGCCACACUGGAACUGAGACACGGUCCAGACUCCUACGGGAGGCAGCAGUAGGGAAUCUUCCGCAAUGGGCGAAAGCCUGACGGAGCAACGCCGCGUGAGUGAUGAAGGUCUUCGGAUCGUAAAACUCUGUUAUUAGGGAAGAACAUAUGUGUAAGUAACUGUGCACAUCUUGACGGUACCUAAUCAGAAAGCCACGGCUAACUACGUGCCAGCAGCCGCGGUAAUACGUAGGUGGCAAGCGUUAUCCGGAAUUAUUGGGCGUAAAGCGCGCGCAGGCGGUUUUUUAAGUCUGAUGUGAAAGCCCACGGCUCAACCGUGGAGGGUCAUUGGAAACUGGAAAACUUGAGUGCAGAAGAGGAAAGUGGAAUUCCAUGUGUAGCGGUGAAAUGCGCAGAGAUAUGGAGGAACACCAGUGGCGAAGGCGACUUUCUGGUCUGUAACUGACGCUGAUGUGCGAAAGCGUGGGGAUCAAACAGGAUUAGAUACCCUGGUAGUCCACGCCGUAAACGAUGAGUGCUAAGUGUUAGGGGGUUUCCGCCCCUUAGUGCUGCAGCUAACGCAUUAAGCACUCCGCCUGGGGAGUACGACCGCAAGGUUGAAACUCAAAGGAAUUGACGGGGACCCGCACAAGCGGUGGAGCAUGUGGUUUAAUUCGAAGCAACGCGAAGAACCUUACCAAAUCUUGACAUCCUUUGACAACUCUAGAGAUAGAGCUUUCCCCUUCGGGGGACAAAGUGACAGGUGGUGCAUGGUUGUCGUCAGCUCGUGUCGUGAGAUGUUGGGUUAAGUCCCGCAACGAGCGCAACCCUUAAGCUUAGUUGCCAUCAUUAAGUUGGGCACUCUAAGUUGACUGCCGGUGACAAACCGGAGGAAGGUGGGGAUGACGUCAAAUCAUCAUGCCCCUUAUGAUUUGGGCUACACACGUGCUACAAUGGACAAUACAAAGGGCAGCGAAACCGCGAGGUCAAGCAAAUCUCAUAAAGUUGUUCUCAGUUCGGAUUGUAGUCUGCAACUCGACUACAUGAAGCUGGAAUCGCUAGUAAUCGUAGAUCAGCAUGCUACGGUGAAUACGUUCCCGGGUCUUGUACACACCGCCCGUCACACCACGAGAGUUUGUAACACCCGAAGCCGGUGGAGUAACCUUUUAGGAGCUAGCCGUCGAAGGUGGGACAAAUGAUUGGGGUGAAGUCGUAACAAGGUAGCCGUAUCGGAAGGUGCGGCUGGAUCACCU
This 1540-nucleotide ribosomal RNA is filed under the name Staphylococcus aureus M0396. RNAcentral's name for it is "16S ribosomal RNA". It matches the Rfam family "Bacterial small subunit ribosomal RNA". Lineage: Bacteria; Bacillati; Bacillota; Bacilli; Caryophanales; Staphylococcaceae. The record is from RNAcentral.